CCUCCACACAGAGCCCAUCCGUCUUCCCCUUGACCCGCUGCUGCAAAAACAUUCCCUCCAAUGCCACCUCCGUGACUCUGGGCUGCCUGGCCACGGGCUACUUCCCGGAGCCGGUGAUGGUGACCUGGGACACAGGCUCCCUCAACGGGACAACUAUGACCUUACCAGCCACCACCCUCACGCUCUCUGGUCACUAUGCCACCAUCAGCUUGCUGACCGUCUCGGGUGCGUGGGCCAAGCAGAUGUUCACCUGCCGUGUGGCACACACUCCAUCGUCCACAGACUGGGUCGACAACAAAACCUUCAGCGUCUGCUCCAGGGACUUCACCCCGCCCACCGUGAAGAUCUUACAGUCGUCCUGCGACGGCGGCGGGCACUUCCCCCCGACCAUCCAGCUCCUGUGCCUCGUCUCUGGGUACACCCCAGGGACUAUCAACAUCACCUGGCUGGAGGACGGGCAGGUCAUGGACGUGGACUUGUCCACCGCCUCUACCACGCAGGAGGGUGAGCUGGCCUCCACACAAAGCGAGCUCACCCUCAGCCAGAAGCACUGGCUGUCAGACCGCACCUACACCUGCCAGGUCACCUAUCAAGGUCACACCUUUGAGGACAGCACCAAGAAGUGUGCAGAUUCCAACCCGAGAGGGGUGAGCGCCUACCUAAGCCGGCCCAGCCCGUUCGACCUGUUCAUCCGCAAGUCGCCCACGAUCACCUGUCUGGUGGUGGACCUGGCACCCAGCAAGGGGACCGUGAACCUGACCUGGUCCCGGGCCAGUGGGAAGCCUGUGAACCACUCCACCAGAAAGGAGGAGAAGCAGCGCAAUGGCACGUUAACCGUCACGUCCACCCUGCCGGUGGGCACCCGAGACUGGAUCGAGGGGGAGACCUACCAGUGCAGGGUGACCCACCCCCACCUGCCCAGGGCCCUCAUGCGGUCCACGACCAAGACCAGCGGCCCGCGUGCUGCCCCGGAAGUCUAUGCGUUUGCGACGCCGGAGUGGCCGGGGAGCCGGGACAAGCGCACCCUCGCCUGCCUGAUCCAGAACUUCAUGCCUGAGGACAUCUCGGUGCAGUGGCUGCACAACGAGGUGCAGCUCCCGGACGCCCGGCACAGCACGACGCAGCCCCGCAAGACCAAGGGCUCCGGCUUCUUCGUCUUCAGCCGCCUGGAGGUGACCAGGGCCGAAUGGGAGCAGAAAGAUGAGUUCAUCUGCCGUGCAGUCCAUGAGGCAGCAAGCCCCUCACAGACCGUCCAGCGAGCGGUGUCUGUAAAUCCCGGUAAAUGA
Non-coding RNA from Homo sapiens (human), 1286 nucleotides. The record is from the annotation of a RefSeq genome assembly. NCBI's taxonomy places the organism in Eukaryota, Metazoa, Chordata, Mammalia, Primates, Hominidae.